GAUGAACGCUGGCGGCGUGCCUAAUACAUGCAAGUCGAGCGAACAGACGAGGAGCUUGCUCCUCUGAUGUUAGCGGCGGACGGGUGAGUAACACGUGGAUAACCUACCUAUAAGACUGGGAUAACUUCGGGAAACCGGAGCUAAUACCGGAUAACAUGUUGAACCGCAUGGUUCAACAGUGAAAGACGGUCUUGCUGUCACUUAUAGAUGGAUCCGCGCCGCAUUAGCUAGUUGGUAAGGUAACGGCCUACCAAGGCAACGAUGCGUAGCCGACCUGAGAGGGGGAUCGGCCACACUGGAACUGAGACACGGUCCAGACUCCUAAGGGAGGCAGCAGUAGGGAAUCUUCCGCAAAGGGCGAAAGCCUGACGGAGCAACGCCGCGUGAGUGAAGAAGGUCUUCGGAUCGUAAAACUCUGUUAUUAGGGGAGAACAAAUGUGUAAGUAACUAUGCACGUAUUGACGGUACCUAAUCAGAAAGCCACGGCUAACUACGUG
Molecule: ribosomal RNA, 497 nt
Filed under: uncultured bacterium
Lineage: Bacteria
Description: partial 16S ribosomal RNA
Rfam family: Bacterial small subunit ribosomal RNA
Source: RNAcentral